Long non-coding RNA from Talpa occidentalis (Iberian mole), 429 nucleotides. RefSeq lists it as uncharacterized. NCBI's taxonomy places the organism in Eukaryota, Metazoa, Chordata, Mammalia, Eulipotyphla, Talpidae. The transcript is spliced from 4 exons. The record is from RefSeq and is a predicted model, not a curated record.
ACCUGGGGUUGACGCCCUGCCCUCCGCGACCAAGGCUCUUACCUCACUGGAGAUUUGAAAAACAGUCCCUGCUUCUUAAGAGUGGUGGUGAAAUUUGAGAAAAUAAGUGCAGGACUGCAAAGGAGUAAUGCUGAGGGUGCUUGGAUGUGAGACCAUAAAGUUCUAAAUGACGCCUCCCUGCCAGCUGGUUUGCUUUGGUGAGCACUGGAGCCUCUGUGAUGGGAGUUAGCUGUGAGAACCACAUGAGGACCAUGUGCAUGGAAGCACUUUGUAAAAUGUCAAGCCCUUCACGUGUGUUAACAGGACCGAGUGUCUACAACUUUCCGUGGCCUGGAGCAGUUCUACAAGUCCCCAGAGGCCCGGCUACGUCCCACUUUUCCUGACCAUGAACACACCCAAAUGAAACAGGUAAGUUCCUCUGUGCACACC